CAGUUCUGGCAGAUCGGCGAGUGCCUGCUGGUGGAGAGGAGGAAGAGUGCAGCACAGGACUACCUGGGCCAGAGCCUGCUCUAUCUACAGAGCCCGCAGGAGCCCCUGCGCCGGGAGGCCGGGAGGUUCAUCGAGCUCAUUGGGAGGCACGAGAGCCCGACGGCGCGGACCCGGUGGUGGCGGUUCGGGCGGCGCUGACCCCGCGGGACGGAAC
Non-coding RNA from Meleagris gallopavo (turkey), 214 nucleotides. The record is from RefSeq and is a predicted model, not a curated record. NCBI's taxonomy places the organism in Eukaryota, Metazoa, Chordata, Aves, Galliformes, Phasianidae.